This 484-nucleotide ribosomal RNA is filed under the name uncultured bacterium. Its description in RNAcentral is "partial 16S ribosomal RNA". It matches the Rfam family "Bacterial small subunit ribosomal RNA", at positions 30 to 507 of the family's 1533-position model. The record is from RNAcentral.
AUUGAACGCUGGCGGCAGGCCUAACACAUGCAAGUCGAGCGGAUGAAGGGAGCUUGCUCCUGGAUUCAGCGGCGGACGGGUGAGUAAUGCCUAGGAAUCUGCCUGGUAGUGGGGGAUAACGUCCGGAAACGGGCGCUAAUACCGCAUACGUCCUGAGGGAGAAAGUGGGGGAUCUUCGGACCUCACGCUAUCAGAUGAGCCUAGGCCGGAUUAGCUAGUUGGUGGGGUAAAGGCCUACCAAGGCGACGAUCCGUAACUGGUCUGAGAGGAUGAUCAGUCACACUGGAACUGAGACACGGUCCAGACUCCUACGGGAGGCAGCAGUGGGGAAUAUUGGACAAUGGGCGAAAGCCUGAUCCAGCCAUGCCGCGUGUGUGAAGAAGGUCUUCGGAUUGUAAAGCACUUUAAGUUGGGAGGAAGGGCAGUAAGUUAAUACCUUGCUGUUUUGACGUUACCAACAGAAUGAGCACCGGCUAACUUCGUG